CUCGAGGUGGCCGCCUGGGACUCCCUCCUCCAAGACAUCGCACUUAUGCCGAUGAACAUCAAGGAGGACCGGGAUGUUCUUUCCUGGCACCUCGAUCCCUCUGGUUGUUUCUCCACGCAGUCCCUGUACGGCGCCAUUGCUCCCUCGACGGCCCCGGAACCAUUUAGCCUGAUCUGGGACAUCCGACUUCCGCUGAAAAUCAGGAUCUUCCUAUGGCAAUGGAUCCGUGGACGCCUCCCCUCUGGGGUUGAAGUCCUCAAGCGUAAUGGCCUGGGUGAUGGGAUGUGCCCCAUCUGUGGAACGAUUGAGGAUGCUAACCACAUCUUUUUCUCGUGCCACUCUGCCCAGUUCCUUUGGGCUUGCUUUCGCGAAACGGUUGGCGGACAGUGGUGUAAUACCAACUUCACCGACCUGCUUGCCAAGCUUAACGCUUCCCCUACUCGCUACCGCCAUAUUAGAUGGCUGUGCAUUGGGGUUCUCGCCUGGACGCUUUGGAACAUUCGCAAUAAGCUUGUUAUUCACAAGGUGCCUCUCCGACGUGCGACUGACGCAAUCUUCAAAUUGUGUGGCUACCUGCAGCUUUGGCGGCCGCUUAGCCGCCCCCAGGACCGGGAUGUCAUCACCACCCUUGUCGGUGUCAAAACCGGCGGAUCUCGGGUAGGGGGUCCCGAACUGUGCGUCUAG
This 684-nucleotide ribosomal RNA is filed under the name Triticum aestivum (bread wheat). RNAcentral describes it as "partial small subunit ribosomal RNA". Lineage: Eukaryota; Viridiplantae; Streptophyta; Magnoliopsida; Poales; Poaceae. The record is from RNAcentral.